GUCGAGAAUCUUUCACAAUGGGGGCAACCCUGAUGGAGCGACGCCGCGUGGAGGAUAAGGUCUUCGGAUUGUAAACUCCUGUCAUGCGUGAACAAGGUUGCUUGGUUAAUACCUGGGCAAAUUGAUGGUAACGCAAGAGGAAGAGACGGCUAACUCUGUGCCAGCAGCCGCGGUAAUACAGAGGUCUCAAGCUUUGUUCGGAAUCACUGGGCGUAAAGGGUGCGUAGGUGGCGUGGUAAGUCAGAUGUGAAAGCCCGGGGCUCAACAUCGGAACUGCAUGCGAUACUGCCAUGCUAGAGUACUGGAGAGGUGACUAGAAUUCUCGGUGUAGCAGUGAAAUGCGUAGAUAUCGAGAGGAAUACCAAAGGCGUAGGCAGGUCACUGGACAGUUACUGACACUGAGGCACGAAGGCCAGGGGAGCGAACGGGAUUAGAAACCCGGGUAGUCC
Molecule: ribosomal RNA, 449 nt
Filed under: uncultured bacterium
Lineage: Bacteria
Description: partial 16S ribosomal RNA
Rfam family: Bacterial small subunit ribosomal RNA
Source: RNAcentral